This 468-nucleotide ribosomal RNA is filed under the name uncultured bacterium. Its description in RNAcentral is "partial 16S ribosomal RNA". It matches the Rfam family "Bacterial small subunit ribosomal RNA", at positions 28 to 507 of the family's 1533-position model. The record is from RNAcentral.
GACGAACGCUGGCGGCGUGCUUAACACAUGCAAGUCGAACGGAAAGGCCCUGCUCUUGUGGGGUGCUCGUGUGGCGAACGGGUGAGUAAAACGCGAGUAUCCUGCCCUUGUCUUUGGGAUAACUCUACGAAAAUGGGGCUAUUAUCGCAUAUGAUCUCUUGCUCCAUGUUGGGGGUUGGUAAGUUUCGGCGGUUCGGGAUCGACUCGAGGCUUAUCAGCUUGUUGGUGGGGUAGUUGCUUUCAAAGGCUAUGACGGCUAGCCGGCAUGAGAGGGUGAACGGGCACAUUGGGACUGAGAUACGGCCCAGAAUCGAACGGGAGGCAGCAGUGGAGAAUAUUGCAGAAUGGGCGGAAGCCUGAUGCAGCGACGCCGCGUGCGGGAUGACGGGCUUCGGGUUGUAAACCGAUUUCGACUGUGACGAAGCGAGAGUGACGGUAAUGGGUAAGAAAGCAACGGCUAACUACGUG